AACGAACGCUGGCGGCAUGCCUAACACAUGCAAGUCGAACGAGACCUUCGGGUCUAGUGGCGCACGGGUGCGUAACGCGUGGGAACCUGCCCUUAGGUUCGGAAUAACUCCCCGAAAGGGGUGCUAAUACCGGAUAAUGUCUUCGGACCAAAGAUUUAUCGCCUUUGGAUGGGCCCGCGUUGGAUUAGCUAGUUGGUAGGGUAAAAGCCUACCAAGGCGACGAUCCAUAGCUGGUCUGAGAGGAUGAUCAGCCACACUGGGACUGAGACACGGCCCGGACUCUUACGGGAGGCGGCAGUGCGUAAUAUUGGAAAGCGGGCGAAAGCAUGAUCGAGCUCUGCCGGGUGAGUGCUGAAGGCCUUGGGGUUGUAAAGUUUUUUUACCCGGGAUGAUAUUGACGGUACCGGGAGAAUAAGCUCCGGCUAACUCCGUG
This 433-nucleotide ribosomal RNA is filed under the name uncultured bacterium. RNAcentral's name for it is "partial 16S ribosomal RNA". It matches the Rfam family "Bacterial small subunit ribosomal RNA", at positions 29 to 507 of the family's 1533-position model. The record is from RNAcentral.